UUGAUCUAGUGGAGUCAGGAAGAGCGAGAGAAACAUCAGCACCAGCGGAGGCAUGGGCUGGGACCCAGGCUCAGCAGGGAGAGCCUCGUCCAGCACCCACCAAGCCCUGGGUUCCAUCCUCCCCUGCAAUAAUCCAGGUACCUGCAGAGUCCUGGAGAAGGUGUCGGAUUACUGGAACUGGAUUACAGACAGUUGUGAGCCCCCAACAUGGACACUGGAACUGGACUAGGACCCUUGGGAGACUGAGCCACUCUGCCCAGCUACUGCCCCUAAUAUAUGUAUUUUUAAUAGAGGCUUGUUUGCAGUCACCGUGUUGAGGCAUUUUGUCACCGCUACAAGGAGAGUUACUGGCAGAGCCCUGAGACCCUACAGAGAGCAAAUCCUUGCCGCCAACCCUCCCCUGAGCAUCAACAUUUUCUGCUGUGGAGAGAAGCUGCCUGGGGAGUGGAGUGAGCUGCAUCCUGGAGUCCCGAGCAGGCUGCCCGUGGGUCUCAGUGGACAACAGAUAAUGUGGAG
This is a long non-coding RNA of Mesocricetus auratus (golden hamster), 516 nucleotides long. RefSeq lists it as uncharacterized. The transcript has 4 exons. Lineage: Eukaryota; Metazoa; Chordata; Mammalia; Rodentia; Cricetidae. The record is from RefSeq and is a predicted model, not a curated record.